CCUACGGGAGGCAGCAGUGAGGAAUCUUGCGCAAUGGGCGAAAGCCUGACGCAGCCACGCCGCGUGCCGGAUGAAGGCCCUAUGGGUUGUAAACGGCUUUUACUAGGGAAGAACGAGAGGGUUUCGAUCUUCUGUGACGGUACCUAGUGAAUAAGCACCGGCUAACUCCGUGCCAGCAGCCGCGGUAAUACGGAGGGUGCAAGCGUUGUCCGGAAUCAUUGGGUGUAAAGGGUACGUAGGCGGGAGCCUAAGUCUGGGGUGAAAUCUUGCCGCUUAACGGUAAAAUGGCCCUGGAUACUGGGUUUCUUGAGUGCAGAAGAGGCAGGUGGAAUUCGUGGUGUAGCGGUGAAAUGCUUAGAUAUCACGAAGAACAUCAGUGGCGAAGGCGGCCUGCUGGUCUGCAACUGACGCUGAGGUACGAAAGCGUGGGGAGCGAACAGGAUUAGAUACCCUGGUAGUCCACGCCGUAAACGAUGCAUACUAGGUGUUGGCCUUAGGGCCAGUGCUGCAGUUAACGCAUUAAGUAUGCCACCUGGGGAGUACGUCGGCAACGAUGAAACUCAAAGGAAUUGACG
RNAcentral lists this ribosomal RNA (575 nucleotides) under uncultured bacterium. RNAcentral describes it as "bacterial SSU rRNA". It matches the Rfam family "Bacterial small subunit ribosomal RNA", at positions 338 to 915 of the family's 1533-position model. The record is from RNAcentral.